AGGUCUAUUUUUUAUUAGAAGGAAACACGAAAUUAAGGUCUCAUAGCACCGAUUCUCUCUCAAACUCGGUUGGGAUGUUGCAGCACCGAGUUCUCUCUCAAACACAAAACUAGGUUGUUAUCUGCACCCUAUUGUUUCGCACAUGUUUCGAUUCCAUUCUCACUAAUAAGACACGAAAGGUCUCAUAGCUCCGAUUUUCUCUCAAACUCGGGGUUGGGGUGUUGCAGCACCGAGUUCUCUCUCAAACACGAAACUAGGCUUUUAUCUGCACCCUAUUGUUUCGCACAUGUUUCGAUUCCAUCACCACCGAUAAGAUUGCAAUCCACCCAGAUUCGUUAGGCACGUACAGGUUUGAUAUGGAAGACAGUGGCUUCCAAUUAUUCGAAAGUAACGAGGUUGACACAAACCUAAGUGAAGAUUUGGAUGGAUGAGCAUAUGGAAGAUGAAUUGACUGAGAGCAUUGGAGACAUGCAUGUUUGUUUUUGAAUCUUCCUUAUUAAGCUUUAUUAUGCGUUUAGAUGAUAACAAAUUAUUUUCUUUCCUAGGUUUGAUAUGGAAGACAGUGGUUUACAAGAUCAUUGCAAAAACUCCGUUAGUGAAGAUUUGAAUGACCAUAUGGAACACACAAACGGUACACGAGACGAAGAAUUUGAUGAUCGUACACUUUUCAAAGGCAAGCCGUAUAAGGACUUGACAUUAGAGGAUCUCCGUGGUGUUGAGUUUAAGAGUGUGGAAGACGUGGACAGAUUCUAAUCCUAUUAUUCAUUGGCAAUGGGUUUCAGCAUGAGCAAGUUUAAACUUGACAAGAACCGUUCUGGAACACAAUUCAACAGAAGAGUGCUAGUUUGCUCAAAAUAAGGUUAUAAAUAUAUUUGUGGAGUACCUUAACGAAAUAGGAAAGGAGGAUUGGUAUGUCCCAACAUACUUCGGGAUGUUCAUGUGAUUGUAGAGAAACUCUAUAAAAAUGGGAGACAACAUGUCAACUCAAGAAUGGAUUCAACAGACUAAAAGACUAAGUAGGCUUGACAGAUUCGAUCAUUGGCCAUUUUGCCAAAUGCAGAAGGAUUUUUAUCCCAAUGCACGAGCCAGGAAUGCAAGAGAAGGAUGCACAUUGGUAUUUGUUGGUGGAGCAUGUCAGAGAUAGGUCUGCAGAGAUCCUUGAUAGUGCUCCAAAUCCUUCCAAAACAAUAUCCCGGCAAAGAGAUGCACGGGCAGCGGUAUGGUUCUUCAAGUAACAUAAAUAAGCUACAAAAAAUCCACAUACUAUAGUUGGACAUGCUGGAUCGCAUUUAUGGCGACGCUAUGUCGAGACAUGCAAAUCGGUUGUUUGCCUUCGGAACCCUUCCCUUCAAGGCUGAUGGAGCUGGACCUUGACAGAAGAAUGAUACAGAUUGCGGUGUUUUUGUCAUUAGGAAUAUGCAGCAAUAUGGUACCGAUUGGGCUGCUACGUACAAUUCGGAUAUUGAACGUGCAAGUUUGGUGGUCGAGUGUCUAAGGCAUCCGAAGAACGAGGUGGGAGACUUGCAUGUGACAGUGGGCAGAUGCUUAGCUCGCAUCUCCGGGAAGAAGAGAAGUAAGAGAAACUGCAGUGUUGCCGACCCCUUAAAAUUUUCAAAAAAUACCAUAGAAUGGUAUAUUUUGUAGUGGACUUUAUGUUGCCAAGUUAAUUGUCGAACAUGGUGAUGUCAUCUUUUGUGAAAGGGGAGUUGGUAAAUUUUGUAAACUGAUAUUUGUGAAUGGCUUGGAGUUUUUCUUAUGUAUUCAAUUAACGUUUCAGUGAUUGUGGAUACA
This is a long non-coding RNA of Rosa chinensis, 1791 nucleotides long. RefSeq lists it as uncharacterized. The record is from RefSeq and is a predicted model, not a curated record. Lineage: Eukaryota; Viridiplantae; Streptophyta; Magnoliopsida; Rosales; Rosaceae. The transcript is spliced from 7 exons.